RNAcentral lists this microRNA (21 nucleotides) under Monodelphis domestica (gray short-tailed opossum). Its description in RNAcentral is "mdo-miR-12382-5p". The record is from miRBase by way of RNAcentral. Lineage: Eukaryota; Metazoa; Chordata; Mammalia; Didelphimorphia; Didelphidae.
CCGUCGUCUGUUCGGAUGAGU